UCCCAUUUUACAAAUAAAGAAACGGAGGCUCAGAGAGGUCAUAUCUCGUCAAAAGCUAUGAAUGGCAAAGCUUGGAGAUCACUCAAGAACACCCCCUCAACCUCAGCUGCAUGUCUUCUAACUAGGGCUGAGUCACUCCAGGUAGGGCCUGGCCCAGCCCAUGGCCAAUACCCAGUAAAUGCUUGUGAGAUGAAUUAGUUGGUGGAUUAAUUAAGUCUGCAGGGCUCUUUGUUAUAUGCUAACCUAAGUUUGAAAGGAUUUUUCUUUUGUUUUUUACUUUUUUUUUUUCUAGUAAUAAAAAGCAAAUUUAUUACCCAAAACUAGUAAAGGGGGAAGUAGCCAGAUUGCUAUUUAAAGUAACUGCUUCAAUUUUUAGAGGGGAAAGCAAUUUUUAGGGUUUUUAAAAGGGAAGACUUGAUAAGGAAGGCAUGCAAGAAAUGGGCUGAGUAUGAUGUCUGUGUGUUUUGUUCUGGUGGCUAUCUUGGGCUUCAGUCCACCUGGACCUCGGAUUGACAUUAUUUUAACAAUGGUCAGGUUGUUAAUUAGCCAUUUUGAAGUAAUUUUUGGAGGUUUGCAGCUGGGUCUCCAGGCUUGGUCUGUCUCAAGAUUAGCCACUGAAACUUCUAAGACAUCACACAAUUAAAUAGUAGCAUACAGUUAGAUAAAUGAAAAGGGAGCAUAUCUGGUGAGAAAGGGGAGGGACGUGGAGUCUAUUUUAAGGCUAAGGAGAAAGGAUUUUGAGUUUCCUCAAGGUUAUAUCUUGAAACUCAAGAGAAUGGGAAAAAAGUUUAAAAGCAUGUUGAAGUUAAGCUGCGGGCUGCAUUGCUUCUCAGAUACCUGCUACUCAGCUUCCCUCCUCAUUCACUCUGCUCCAGCCACUCUGAUCUCCUUGCACAUGAGCCAUGCCUGUAGUCCGCGGCCUCUGCACUGACUGUUCCUCUGCCAGGAGUAUCUAUGCCCCCUGCCUCACUUCAUGCCUCAGAUGUCAUCUUCUCAGUGAGGCUUACAUUGGUCAACCCUUUCUCAG
This 1027-nucleotide long non-coding RNA is filed under the name Homo sapiens (human). RNAcentral describes it as "HSALNT0221373". Lineage: Eukaryota; Metazoa; Chordata; Mammalia; Primates; Hominidae. The record is from RNAcentral.